CUCUUUUUUGGUCUUUUGGAAAAUGUUGUUUGUGCUGUAUUUAGACCCCUUUAACAAGAAAUUUGUUUUGCAUGCACACGUAUAGAAAUUGCGGUUUUUAUCCAACGCAAUCAUAGGUUUGAACGUUGUUUUCAAUUUAGACUUGUUUAUAUUUUUUUGUUUGGGCUUGUAUUAUAUUUGCCUUCGGGUUUAUAUGAUCCGUUCAUCCUAUUUUGACUCUUUCAAAAUUCAAGAGUCUAUCCUAAAAUGAGGUAAAUUAUAUGGCCUUCCAAAUACCGUUUCGAUUCCUAACAUCACUGAAGAGACAUUAAUUGUCGAAAUCCGGAUAUGGUGUACUAAUUUUUGCACCUUUUGUUUGCGGUAUACCAUCUUUUCCGUAAGUUUAUUGUUUUCUGUUUGGUAUUCAAUUUAUAAAUUUUUAAAGAUCUAUUUUGUAACAUCUUGUGAUCCGUUUAUUUGGCAAUCGCCAAUGGCAGUCGGCAGGGUUUAAGAACAUCUGUUGUUCGACCUGUUAGUCAAAUGCGUUUUGUUAAAAUAUACUUUUUCACUUUUUUGGUCUUUUCGAAAAUGUUGUUUGUGCUGUAUUUAGACCCCUCUAACAAGAAAUUUGUUUUGCAUGCACACGUAUAGAAAUUGCGGUUUUUAUCCAACGCAAUCAUAGGUUUGAACGUUGUUUUCAAUUUAGACUUGUUUAUAUUUUUUUGUUUGGGCUUGUAUUAUAUUUGCCUUCGGGUUUAUAUGAUCCGUUCAUCCUAUUUUGACUCUUUCAAAAUUCAAGAGUCUAUCCUAAAAUGAGGUAAAUUAUAUGGCCUUCCAAAUACCGUUUCGAUUCCUAACAUCACUGAAGAGACAUUAAUUGUCGAAAUCCGGAUAUGUUGUACUAAUUUUUGCACCUUUUGUUUGCGGUUUACCAUCUUUUCCGCAAGUUUAUUGUUUUCUGUUUGGUAUUAAAUUUAUAAAUUUUUAAAGAUCUAUUUUGUAACAUCUUGUGAUCCGUUUAUUUGGCAAUCGCCAAUGGCAGUCGGCAGGGUUUAAGAACAUCUGUUGUUCGACCUGUUAGUCAAAUGCGUUUUGUUAAAAUAUACUUUUUCACUUUUUUGGUCUUUUGGAAAAUGUUGUUUGUGCUGUAUUUAGACCCCUCUAACAAGAAAUUUGUUUUGCAUGCACACGUAUAGAAAUUGCGGUUUUUAUCCAACGCAAUCAUAGGUUUGAACGUUGGUUUCAAUUUAGACUUGUUUAUAUUUUUUCGUUUGGGCUUGUAUUAUAUUUGCCUUCGGGUUAUAUGAUCCGUUCAUCGUAUUUUGACUCUUUCAAAAUUCAAGAGUCUAUCCUAAAAUGAGGUAAAUUAUAUGGCCUUCCAAAUACCGUUUCGAUUCCUAACAUCACUGAAGAGACAUUAAUUGUCGAAAUCCGGAUAUGGUGUACUAAUUUUUGCACCUUUUGUUUGCGGUAUACCAUCUUUUCCGUAAGUUUAUUGUUUUAUGUUUGGUAUUAAAUUUAUAAAUUUUUAAAGAUCUAUUUUGUAACAUCUUGUGAUCCGUUUAUUUGGCAAUCGCCAAUGGCAGUCGGCAGGGUUUAAGAACAUCUGUUGUUCGACCUGUUAGUCAAAUGCGUUUUGUUAAAAUAUACUUUUUCACUUUUUUGGUCUUUUCGAAAAUGUUGUUUGUGCUGUAUUUAGACCCCUUUAACAAGAAAUUUGUUUUGCAUGCACACGUAUAGAAAUUGCAGUUUUUAUCCAACGCAAUCAUAGGUUUGAACGUUGUUUUCAAUUUAGACUUGUUUAUAUUUUUUCGUUUGGGCUUGUAUUAUAUUUGCCUUCGGGUUUAAAUGAUCCGUUCAUCCUAUUUUGACUCUUUCAAAAUUCAAGAGUCUAUCCUAAAAUGAGGUAAAUUAUAUGGCCUUCCAAAUACCGUUUCGAUUCCUAACAUCACUGAAGAGACAUUAAUUGUCGAAAUCCGGAUAUGUUGUACUAAUUUUUGCACCUUUUGUUUGCGGUUUACCAUCUUUUCCGCAAGUUUAUUGUUUUCUGUUUGGUAUUAAAUUUAUAAAUUUUUAAAGAUCUAUUUUGUAACAUCUUGUGAUCCGUUUAUUUGGCAAUCGCCAAUGGCAGUCGGCAGGGUUUAAGAACAUCUGUUGUUCGACCUGUUAGUCAAAUGCGUUUUGUUAAAAUAUACUUUUUCACUUUUUUGGUCUUUUGGAAAAUGUUGUUUGUGCUGUAUUUAGACCCCUCUAACAAGAAAUUUGUUUUGCAUGCACACGUAUAGAAAUUGCGGUUUUUAUCCAACGCAAUCAUAGGUUUGAACGUUGGUUUCAAUUUAAACUUGUUUAUAUUUUUUCGUUUGGGCUUGUAUUAUAUUUGCCUUCGGGUUAUAUGAUCCGUUCAUCGUAUUUUGACUCUUUCAAAAUUCAAGAGUCUAUCCUAAAAUGAGGUAAAUUAUAUGGCCUUCCAAAUACCGUUUCGAUUCCUAACAUCACUGAAGAGACAUUAAUUGUCGAAAUCCGGAUAUGGUGUACUAAUUUUUGCACCUUUUGUUUGCGGUAUACCAUCUUUUCCGUAAGUUUAUUGUUUUCUGUUUGGUAUUAAAUUUAUAAAUUUUUAAAGAUCUAUUUUGUAACAUCUUGUGAUCCGUUUAUUUGGCAAUCGCCAAUGGCAGUCGGCAGGGUUUAAGAACAUCUGUUGUUCGACCUGUUAGUCAAAUGCGUUUUGUUAAAAUAUACUUUUUCACUUUUUUGGUCGUUUCGAAAAUGUUGUUUGUGCUGUAUUUAGACCCCUUUAACAAGAAAUUUGUUUUGCAUGCACACGUAUAGAAAUUGCGGUUUUUAUCCAACGCAAUCAUAGGUUUGAACGUUGUUUUCAAUUUAGACUUGUUUAUAUUUUUUCGUUUGGGCUUGUAUUAUAUUUGCCUUCGGGUUUAAAUGAUCCGUUCAUCCUAUUUUGACUCUUUCAAAAUUCAAGAGUCUAUCCUAAAAUGAGGUAAAUUAUAUGGCCUUCCAAAUACCGUUUCGAUUCCUAACAUCACUGAAGAGACAUUAAUUGUCGAAAUCCGGAUAUGGUGUACUAAUUUUUGCACCUUUUGUUUGCGGUAUACCAUCUUUUCCGCAGGUUAUUGUUUUCUGUUUGGUUUUAAAUUUAUAAAUCAAUAUGAAACUUUUGUAACAGAUUAUUUAUUUUAUUCCAGAACUCCUUGAAAUAACUGCACUCUAUGUAAUUAUGAAGACAAUUGAUCAUCAUUGGAAAUAUUUGUGAUGUCAUUUAACAAGACCGAAGCAAUACUUUCCUGCUGUUUGUUUACAUUCUUGCAACAACAAUAACAUUGUGAUAAAGCGACUAUCCGUACCUUGGACAAUAUAGAUUUACUUCUUACAUGCAUUACUGAAAGAUGAUACGUUACUAGAUUAUUAUGGUGCACCUUAAGUAGAUUAAUAUUCGAAUCAUAUGGAACAAGUAUAUGUGACCACUGUUUGGAGUUACUAU
This is a long non-coding RNA of Mytilus californianus (California mussel), 3475 nucleotides long. RefSeq lists it as uncharacterized. The transcript is spliced from 3 exons. The record is from RefSeq and is a predicted model, not a curated record. NCBI's taxonomy places the organism in Eukaryota, Metazoa, Mollusca, Bivalvia, Mytilida, Mytilidae.